AGAGUUUGAUCCUGGCUCAGAACGAACGCUGGCGGCAUGCCUAACACAUGCAAGUCGAACGAGACCUUCGGGUCUAGUGGCGCACGGGUGCGUAACGCGUGGGAAUCUGCCUUGGGGUACGGAAUAACUCAGAGAAAUUUGAGCUAAUACCGUAUGAUGUCUUCGGACCAAAGAUUUAUCGCCCUGAGAUGAGCCCGCGUAGGAUUAGCUAGUUGGUGGGGUAAAGGCCUACCAAGGCGACGAUCCUUAGCUGGUCUGAGAGGAUGAUCAGCCACACUGGGACUGAGGCACGGCCCAGACUCCUACGGGAGGCAGCAGUGGGGAAUAUUGGACAAUGGGCGAAAGCCUGAUCCAGCAAUGCCGCGUGAGUGAUGAAGGCCUUAGGGUUGUAAAGCUCUUUUACCCGGGAAGAUAAUGACUGUACCGGGAGAAUAAGCCCCGGCUAACUCCGUGCCAGCAGCCGCGGUAAUACGGAGGGGGCUAGCGUUGUUCGGAAUUACUGGGCGUAAAGCGCACGUAGGCGGCUUGGUAAGUUAGAGGUGAAAGCCUGGAGCUCAACUCCAGAAUUGCCUUUAAGACUGCCGAGCUAGCAGGUGAGAGAGGUGAGUGGAAUUCCGAGUGUAGAGGUGAAAUUCGUAGAUAUUCGGAAGAACACCAGUGGCGAAGGCGGCUCACUGGCUCAUACUGGACGCUGAGGUGCGAAAGCGUGGGGAGCAAACAGGAUUAGAUACCCUAGUAGUCC
Molecule: ribosomal RNA, 742 nt
Filed under: uncultured bacterium
Lineage: Bacteria
Description: bacterial SSU rRNA
Rfam family: Bacterial small subunit ribosomal RNA
Source: RNAcentral